GUAGGUGGCAAGCGUUGUCCGGAAUUAUUGGGCGUAAAGCGCGCGCAGGUGGUUCUUUAAGUCUGAUGUGAAAGCCCCCGGGCUCAACCGGGGAGGGUCAUUGGAAACUGGGGAACUUGAGUGCAGGAGAGGAAAGUGGAAUUCCACGUGUAGCGGUGAAAUGCGUAGAUAUGUGGAGGAACACCAGUGGCGAAGGCGACUUUCUGGCCUGUAACUGACACUGAGGCGCGAAAGCGUGGGGAGCAAACAGGAUUAGAUACCCUGGUAGUCCACGCCGUAAACGAUGAGUGCUAAGUGUUGGGGGGUUUCCGCCCCUCAGUGCUGCAGCUAACGCAUUAAGCACUCCGCCUGGGGAGUACGGUCGCAAAGACUG
RNAcentral lists this ribosomal RNA (373 nucleotides) under uncultured organism. RNAcentral's name for it is "partial 16S ribosomal RNA". It matches the Rfam family "Bacterial small subunit ribosomal RNA", at positions 527 to 896 of the family's 1533-position model. The record is from RNAcentral.